RNAcentral lists this ribosomal RNA (715 nucleotides) under Bacillus sp. RZ3MS20. Its description in RNAcentral is "bacterial SSU rRNA". It matches the Rfam family "Bacterial small subunit ribosomal RNA", at positions 57 to 755 of the family's 1533-position model. Lineage: Bacteria; Bacillati; Bacillota; Bacilli; Caryophanales; Bacillaceae. The record is from RNAcentral.
GCAGUCGAGCGAUGGAUUAAGAGCUUGCUCUUAUGAAGUUAGCGGCGGACGGGUGAGUAACACGUGGGUAACCUGCCCAUAAGACUGGGAUAACUCCGGGAAACCGGGGCUAAUACCGGAUAAYAUUUUGAACYGCAUGGUUCRAAAUUGAAAGGCGGCUUCGGCUGUCACUUAUGGAUGGACCCGCGUCGCAUUAGCUAGUUGGUGAGGUAACGGCUCACCAAGGCAACGAUGCGUAGCCGACCUGAGAGGGUGAUCGGCCACACUGGGACUGAGACACGGCCCAGACUCCUACGGGAGGCAGCAGUAGGGAAUCUUCCGCAAUGGACGAAAGUCUGACGGAGCAACGCCGCGUGAGUGAUGAAGGCUUUCGGGUCGUAAAACUCUGUUGUUAGGGAAGAACAAGUGCUAGUUGAAUAAGCUGGCACCUUGACGGUACCUAACCAGAAAGCCACGGCUAACUACGUGCCAGCAGCCGCGGUAAUACGUAGGUGGCAAGCGUUAUCCGGAAUUAUUGGGCGUAAAGCGCGCGCAGGUGGUUUCUUAAGUCUGAUGUGAAAGCCCACGGCUCAACCGUGGAGGGUCAUUGGAAACUGGGAGACUUGAGUGCAGAAGAGGAAAGUGGAAUUCCAUGUGUAGCGGUGAAAUGCGUAGAGAUAUGGAGGAACACCAGUGGCGAAAGCGACUUUCUGGUCUGUAACUGACACUGAGCGCG